This 1140-nucleotide ribosomal RNA is filed under the name Triticum aestivum (bread wheat). RNAcentral describes it as "partial small subunit ribosomal RNA". The record is from RNAcentral. Lineage: Eukaryota; Viridiplantae; Streptophyta; Magnoliopsida; Poales; Poaceae.
AUGGGGGAACCGACCCCCAUGGAGACCGGAGACGGGGGCCAUGUCCAAUUUGGCCCCCAACCAAAUGUCAUUCCGGAUAACCACACGGCUCCGGAGACAGAUGAGCAGCCUCCUUCGAAAGAAGGGGGCGUGCCCACCCCACCGGCGACCUCCGUCAAUCCGAAGGCGCCGGACACUCUGGUGGGAGCGCUUCAGAGCGCCACCAUUGUGGAAGAACAUCGUACCCUUAUGGGUACGGUGAUUGAAAAGGUUCAGUCCGCAAAAAGCGGGUUGAACGAGGCCUACACUAGCCUUCUGAGAGGCUUUGAGGCUGUGAUGCAGGCGUCAGCUUCCCAUGCCGCCGAAGCGUCCGAGCUAAGGCAGAAGUUAGAGGAAAAGCAAGCUGACGCUUCGGAGGUCGAAGCCCUCAAGAACGCGCUGGCCGAAGCCAAGAAGGAGGCGGAAGAGGAACGAGCCGCCCGCCUGAAACAUGAAUCAAGGGUGGGGGAAGUCCAGCAAGAGCUCAAGGAUGCGAUAGGCAAAUGUGAGUCCUUAGAGCGCAAGAUUUCGGAUCAAAAGUCCAAACUUGCUAAGGCCCUCCAAAGUGCACAGGAAGCCCGGACCGAAGCCCAAAGCGCCUGCCAGGAGAUCCAAGAGGCGAAGCAGAUUGCGGCGGGAGCGUUUGCGGACCUGCCCCGGAGUAUUGCUGAUGCUGCGGAGUUCUUCCGAGCCGAAGAGGGGAGCGCGACGGAAAAGCUGUUCUGGUCGCAGUACCUCGCGCCAGAGCAUCCCGUGCCCCUCAGCGAUCAACUUAAGCAAUUGACCGAACUGCAUAGGAUGGUCGGAUUGGCCAUGAGGGAUGUUAUAAUCCGUCUUUGGCCCGCCGAACCCAUACCCAGCAGCUAUUUCGGGCUCGUGAAGCGGCUGGCCAAUGCCUGCCCCCGGCUCGAUGUCGUGAAGCGGUCGGUCUGCAUCGAAGGUGCACGGAUGGCCUUCGCCCGUGUCAAAGUGCAGUGGGUGAAGAUGAACGUCGUCAAGCUUGCCACCGAGGGACCGCCCACGGGCAAAGAGCACCGCAAGCCGGAGCAGUAUUUUGACGACGUCCUCGAAGGAUCCCGCAUUGUAGAGGGCCAGUGCUCAAAGGACAUUAUUUUUGAAUGA